Molecule: ribosomal RNA, 270 nt
Filed under: uncultured archaeon
Lineage: Archaea
Description: partial 16S ribosomal RNA
Rfam family: Archaeal small subunit ribosomal RNA
Source: RNAcentral
CAGCUCUCCGAGUGGUAGGGAUGAUUAUUGGGCCUAAAGCAUCCGUAGCCGGCGCUGUAAGUUUUCGGUUAAAUCUGUACGCUCAACGUACAGGCUGCCGGGAAUACUGCAGCGCUAGGGAGUGGGAGAGGUAGACGGUACUCGGUAGGAAGGGGUAAAAUCCUUUGAUCUAUUGAUGACCACCUGUGGCGAAGGCGGUCUACCAGAGCACGUCCGACGGUGAGGGAUGAAAGCUGGGGGAGCAAACCGGAUUAGAUACCCGAGUAGUCC